GGGGUCGUUACGGAAUCGACUGGUAUUGUUCGAGCUAGUACUGCGUUUAGGGGUUGUGGCCCUAUAAUCCACUCAGACGAAUUAACUGCAAAAAAUUCAAACAAUAUGGCUGUCGCUGCUUAAAAACCAGCACACCUAACUAGUUGGCGUUUUAGUCACAAAUGUCGAUUAGUCAUCAUAAUGUGACUUGCGUGUAACUCUUCCACCUGGAGUGGUUGCAAAGAGGAUAAUCAGGUUAGCAGAAAUGAUCGCGACGUUGAUUAGCGUGCAUGAUGCGAAAAUUAAAUCAAUCAACUAUGAACGUAGAUGUAUUAGUGGCGAAAUAUUAGGACAGGGGUUCAACUCCCCUCGGCUCCAUAU
Molecule: transfer-messenger RNA, 360 nt
Filed under: Weissella diestrammenae
Lineage: Bacteria; Bacillati; Bacillota; Bacilli; Lactobacillales; Lactobacillaceae
Description: Standard tmRNA
Rfam family: transfer-messenger RNA
About the family: Bacterial tmRNA, also known as 10Sa RNA or SsrA, is named for its dual tRNA and mRNA-like properties. Its role is to liberate the mRNA from a stalled ribosome.
Source: Rfam by way of RNAcentral